UCCCGGAAAGGACUGGGUCCGGCUCCCCCCACCCCGGGUUAGCCGCCGGGAAGCGGCGGCUCCGCCUCCGCCUGGCCAGUCGGCGCCCGCCGGAGCGCUGGGGGAGGGGAGGGGCGCCGGGGGGACGGUGUCGGUGCCCGGGCCGCGAGGAGAGGUGUUCUCUCCCGCCCCCGGGAAGGGACGCCUCCUUAUCUGCGCAGAUCGCGGACGUGGUAUGAACCCGGGCGCGGGAAGGCUCUGGGAGCCGGAGUUCACGGUACUGGACCGGCCGCCGGUUCUCGCGUGUUCGCGAAGCACGUUUGCAGCCCAACGUGGACACAGGUUUGCACCUCAAUAGACGCGCUCACCCGGAGCAUGUUUGCAUCCCCAACACCCUGUCUCAGUCUCCGGGUGGAAGACCAAAGCUAGGAAAGCACCCCUUCACCAAGUACCAGUACACGUGGUUUGAGCAUCUUCAGUUAAACUAGAAAUAUCAUUUUAGAAAAAUAUAUUUAUCUACACUCCAAAGAGCAACUGAAACAACCAAGAUUCUUCAAUGUAUCUUCAAAAUUAAACACUUUUCCUUAGUGGUAUAUGUA
Long non-coding RNA from Myotis lucifugus (little brown bat), 578 nucleotides. RefSeq lists it as uncharacterized. The record is from RefSeq and is a predicted model, not a curated record. The transcript is spliced from 2 exons. NCBI's taxonomy places the organism in Eukaryota, Metazoa, Chordata, Mammalia, Chiroptera, Vespertilionidae.